GAUGAACGCUGGCGGCGUGCCUAAUACAUGCAAGUAGAACGCUGAAGCUUGGUGCUUGCACCGAGCGGAUGAGUUGCGAACGGGUGAGUAACGCGUAGGUAACCUGCCUCUUAGCGGGGGAUAACUAUUGGAAACGAUAGCUAAUACCGCAUAACAGUCGAUAUCGCAUGAUAUUGAUUUGAAAGGUGCAAUUGCAUCACUAAGAGAUGGACCUGCGUUGUAUUAGCUAGUUGGUGAGGUAACGGCUCACCAAGGCAACGAUACAUAGCCGACCUGAGAGGGUGAUCGGCCACACUGGGACUGAGACACGGCCCAGACUCCUACGGGAGGCAGCAGUAGGGAAUCUUCGGCAAUGGGGGCAACCCUGACCGAGCAACGCCGCGUGAGUGAAGAAGGUUUUCGGAUCGUAAAGCUCUGUUGUAAGAGAAGAACGAGUGUGAGAGUGGAAAGUUCACACUGUGACGGUCACUUACCAGAAAGGGACGGCUAACUACGUGCCAGCAGCCGCGGUAAUACGUAGGUCCCGAGCGUUAUCCGGAUUUAUUGGGCGUAAAGCGAGCGCAGGCGGUUAGAUAAGUCUGAAGUUAAAGGCUGUGGCUUAACCAUAGUACGCUUUGGAAACUGUUUAACUUGAGUGCAAAAGGGGAGAGUGGAAUUCCAUGUGUAGCGGUGAAAUGCCUAGAUAUAUGGAGGAACACCGGUGGCGAAAGCGGCUCUCUGGUCUGUUACUGACUUCUGAGGCUCAAAAGCGUGGGGAGCGAACAGG
Molecule: ribosomal RNA, 766 nt
Filed under: uncultured Streptococcus sp.
Lineage: Bacteria; Bacillati; Bacillota; Bacilli; Lactobacillales; Streptococcaceae
Description: bacterial SSU rRNA
Rfam family: Bacterial small subunit ribosomal RNA
Source: RNAcentral